UUAUUAAUUUAAAGUCAGGCCUGCCCCCUGAAUAAUUUUUAAGGGCCGCGGUAUUUUGACCGUGCUAAGGUAGCAUAAUCAUUAGUUUCUUAAUUAGAAGCUGGUAUGAAUGGUUUAAUGAGAAAAUGACUGUUUCAAUUUAAAUUAUAUUGAAUUUUAUAUUUAAGUUAAAAAGCUUAAAUUUUUUUAAAAGACGAGAAGACCCUAUAGAGUUUAAUAAAAAUUUUUAAUUUUUAAUUUUGGGAUUAUUAAUAAAAAUUUAAGUUUUUAUUUGGUUGGGGUGAUUGUAAAAUUUAAUUAACUUUUAUUUAUUUAUUACAUAAAUUUAUGAAUAUUUGAUCCAUAUUUAAUGAUUAAAAGAUUAAAUUACCUUAGGGAUAACAGCGUAAUUUUUUUUUAGAGUUCAAAUUAAAAAAAAAGAUUGCGACCUCGAUGUUGGAUUAAAUUUAAUUUUUGGUGUAGAAGCUGAAAGUUUGGGUCUGUUCGACCUUUAAAAAUUUACAUGA
RNAcentral lists this ribosomal RNA (506 nucleotides) under Aegomorphus clavipes. RNAcentral's name for it is "partial large subunit ribosomal RNA". It matches the Rfam family "Bacterial large subunit ribosomal RNA", at positions 1839 to 2603 of the family's 2925-position model. The record is from RNAcentral. Lineage: Eukaryota; Metazoa; Arthropoda; Insecta; Coleoptera; Cerambycidae.